GAGGAAAAGAAACUAACAAGGAUUCCCCUAGUAACUGCGAGUGAAGCGGGAAAAGCUCAAAUUUAAAAUCUGGCAGUCUUUGGCUGUCCGAGUUGUAAUCUAGAGAAGUGCUGCCCGCGCUGGACCGUGUACAAGUCUCCUGGAAUGGAGCAUCAUAGAGGGUGAGAAUCCCGUCUCUGACACGGACUCCCAGGGCUUUGUGGUACGCUCUCAAAGAGUCGAGUUGUUUGGGAAUGCAGCUCAAAAUGGGUGGUAAAUUCCAUCUAAAGCUAAAUAUUGGCGAGAGACCGAUAGCGAACAAGUACCGUGAGGGAAAGAUGAAAAGAACUUUGGAAAGAGAGUUAAACAGUACGUGAAAUUGCUGAAAGGGAAACGCUUGAAGUCAGUCACGUUGGCUGGGGAUCAGCCUCGCUCUUUUGCGUGGUGUACUUUCUAGUUGAUGGGUCAGCAUCAAUUUUGACCGCUGGAAAAAGGCUUGAGGAAUGUGGCAGCUUCGGCUGUGUUAUAGCUUCAUGUCACAUACAGCGGUUGGGAUUGAGGAACUCAGCACGCCGCAAGGCCGGGUCUUUGACCACGUUCGUGCUUAGGA
RNAcentral lists this ribosomal RNA (589 nucleotides) under Leucoagaricus sp. Vellinga 2498. Its description in RNAcentral is "eukaryotic LSU rRNA". It matches the Rfam family "Eukaryotic large subunit ribosomal RNA", at positions 53 to 623 of the family's 3401-position model. The record is from RNAcentral. Lineage: Eukaryota; Fungi; Basidiomycota; Agaricomycetes; Agaricales; Agaricaceae.